This 691-nucleotide unclassified non-coding RNA is filed under the name Hevea brasiliensis (rubber tree). The record is from RNAcentral. Lineage: Eukaryota; Viridiplantae; Streptophyta; Magnoliopsida; Malpighiales; Euphorbiaceae.
CAUCAAUCAAAUCCUACAUUCAAGAGAAUGAAAAAUGAACAAAAGAAAUAGAGAACUGACCUCUCUCAGGAUCUUCUUAUCACCAGUCCCAUUGGGUUGAUUAAGGUUAGCAACCUCCCACAAAGGAAUAUCAAGAAGAGUCCUAAUAACAUCUUCAUCCAAGAAAGGGAAUCUAGCCUCCUUUCCAUUAUCUGAAAUGCAUCUAUCAUCUCUCCCCAUGUUUCGCUUCCAUAUUCUUUGCAUGUCCAACUUCAUCUCCUCAUUGAGCCCAAGCCAACUUCCACAUCUAUAUUUUGUUUUGUGCCUUCCAUAACCAGCACACUGCUCAUCAGCACCAGAGCCAACCAGGACAAUCCUGGCCUUGGAUUUGUAUCUAAUGCGCUGUUGAUUCUCAACAUUGUUAUUGCCAGUUCCUUCAUAGACCCAACCAUAACCUCUUGCAGCCAGCCAUAAAGCAAUUCCUAUAUUCAGGUCCAUGUAGGUAUUUGCAGGGUUAAUGAGAGACAUAACAUGCUUCAUUUCCAAAGUCAACUUUGACAAAUCAGCAUCAAUCUCUACAAGUUUCCACCUUCUCAAUGGUGCGAUUCUUCUAAGUUCCUCUACACCUGCCUUGGCAGAGAUUCUAUCAGGAGCAAACCGACCAUCAAAGCUCACAUUCAGUAAAUCAAUUCCAUAGCUGGUAUCUAGGCAC